Molecule: non-coding RNA, 31 nt
Filed under: Homo sapiens (human)
Lineage: Eukaryota; Metazoa; Chordata; Mammalia; Primates; Hominidae
Source: RNAcentral
UGUCAAGGGUCAUUGUGAAGAUUAGAUGUGU